GAGGAAUAAGCAUCGGCUAACUCCCGUGCCAGCAGCCGCGGUAAUACGGGGGAUGCAAGCGUUAUCCGGAAUCAUUGGGCGUAAAGCGCCUGUAGGUUGUUUAAUAAGUCUGUUGUUAAAGACUAGGGCUUAACCCUAGAAAAGCAAUGGAAACUACUAGACUAGAGUAUGGCAGGGGUAGAGGGAAUUUCUAGUGUAGCGGUGAAAUGCGUAGAUAUUAGAAAGAACACCGGUGGCGAAAGCGCUCUACUGGACCAUUACUGACACUCAGAGGCGAAAGCUAGGGUAGCAAAAGGGAUUAGAUACCCCUGUAGUCCUAGCCGUAAACGAUGGAUACUACAUGUUGUGCAUUAUGUACAGUAUGGUAGCUAACGCGUUAAGUAUCCCGCCUGGGGAGUACGCUCGCAAGGGUGAAACUCAAAGGAAUUGACGGGGGCCCGCACAAGCGGUGGAGCAUGUGGUUUAAUUCGAUGCAACGCGAAGAACCUUACCAGGACUUGACAUACUACAAAUUCUUUUGAGAAAAAGAAGUGCCUUCGGGAAUGUAGAUACAGGUGGUGCAUGGCUGUCGUCAGCUCGUGUCGUGAGAUGUUGGGUUAAGUCCCGCAACGAGCGCAACCCUUAUUUUUAGUUACCAAUUCGUUGGGUUCUCUAGAAAGACUGCCGGUGACAAACCGGAGGAAGGUGAGGAUGACGUCAAGUCAGCAUGCCCCUUAUGUCCUGGGCUACACACGUGCUACAAUGGUUAAGACAAAGAGUCGCGAGCUCGUGAGAGUCAGCUAAUCUCAUAAACUUAGCCCAAGUUCAGAUUGUAGGCUGCAACUCGCCUGCAUGA
RNAcentral lists this ribosomal RNA (835 nucleotides) under uncultured marine bacterium. Its description in RNAcentral is "bacterial SSU rRNA". It matches the Rfam family "Bacterial small subunit ribosomal RNA", at positions 481 to 1323 of the family's 1533-position model. The record is from RNAcentral.